Ailuropoda melanoleuca (giant panda) is the source of this 1443-nucleotide long non-coding RNA. RefSeq lists it as uncharacterized. NCBI's taxonomy places the organism in Eukaryota, Metazoa, Chordata, Mammalia, Carnivora, Ursidae. The transcript is spliced from 7 exons. The record is from RefSeq and is a predicted model, not a curated record.
UUCUGACCUGGACGGUGGCCAGAGGAGGACAAGAGACUUCCAGACAGAAUGGAGGGAUGAUUUGGGUGACCUGUGAAACGCAGUCGCACAUCUACAAGCAACCGGGCUCCCGGAACGUGGCGGCGGCCUCGGUGGUCUCGACGUUGCUGAUGGCGACUGAGUGGAACCGGUGGGAGGGCUUCCCGAGCCCGCUACUGCGGCCGAGAUUGUGGCUUCUUACUCCACCUGUCAGGCCACCCAGAAUUUGAGGCUGGAAAUCACACACAUCAUUCAGCAACACAAUGAUCAGUUUUCUCUCUGAGGGCUUCAGCUGGAGAAAUUUCCUGCCGGGAAGUUCAUCCUCAAGGAGAAAGCUGGGACCAGUGCUUUCAAAAGUCAGACAUGACAUAAGCUUUCCAAAAUGGAUCAAGAUGAAUGUUUUGGAUGAAGCAGAUAUAAAUGCUGAGUCUAGGGAUUAAAGGUCAAAUCCACAAGAUUUACCAGAAAGUAAAUACAAGUAUUCAGGUUGGGUUGCUUUCUUCCUUAAUGACAAUCAAUAUGUUGGAAGUUAUCAAGAAGUUCAGAUUCUGAUGAAGAAGGAAGAAUUGACCCAUGAAACAGUCAAUCUUUUAUAAUAUUUUUGAAAAGGAACACAGCACAAAGGGUAGACUGGCUUCUGAGAAAAUGCGUGCCAGGAAUUUCAGUAUCUGAUGUGGUGGUGACAGAAAGAAAGAGACAUUACCAAGAAGGAAUUCAGAUAAGGGACAAACCACAUUUUGAUUACUACCAACUUACUGAAUUGGAAGUGGAGGUCGGUUUGGGAGGAAAGCUGUGGCCAUAAACAUUGAAGAAGAGGAGCAGAUUCUUUGUGACAUUGAGCCUUUGUACAACACCACAGGAGAGGGAGUGCCAAUGAAUGUGGCUCACAGCACUCACUCUUGUGGACGAGGUGAUAACAAUGUGCAUUGUGCCUUUUUCUUUAGGAAUAUUUGAAGCUCGUCUCAAAGGUCAUAAGGGAUCAGAAAUACAGAUUUUGAUAGCAAUGCUACUCUUACUCAUGAGCUCAUAUGAGGAAGGUCAUUGGCUUUAUCUUCUUUAGAAUUAGAAUACUGGAGUUGGAUAUGAAAGUGGGAUUGUAAAAAUCAUUCUUAGAAGUUUAUUUCCUAGUUCUAUAAAAAUGGUUAUAUUGAGUGUUCUCUGUCAUCUAAUACUAUACUUGUGGACUGGACAAUAUGUGCUGUAUAAAAGGAGCCAAUUCUGUUAAAUUAGUGUAUCUGCUUAUUGUAUAGUCAUUAGACUGAAUAGAACUUGGAAAUGAUUUUUUUUUUUAAGUAUUUGAGUUCUUUUUGUUUGGUAUUGUGUUUGUAUUCAAUAAAACAUUUUAUUAGUGGUAAGUGUGCACUGGAGACUUUUUAAAAAGAUUUUAUUUAUUUAUUUGAGAGAGAGAGAGAGCAUGAGCGGGGG